UAGCUCAGUGGUAGAGCACUUGUCUUGCAUGCAGGAGGACCAGGGUUCAAUCCCUA
This is a transfer RNA of Neotoma lepida (desert woodrat), 56 nucleotides long. It matches the Rfam family "tRNA", at positions 8 to 63 of the family's 71-position model. From Rfam's summary of the family: Transfer RNA (tRNA) molecules are approximately 80 nucleotides in length. Lineage: Eukaryota; Metazoa; Chordata; Mammalia; Rodentia; Cricetidae. The record is from Rfam.